GGGCCCAUAGCUCAGUUGGUUAGAGCGCUCGACUCAUAAUCGAUCGGUCGCAGGUUCAAGUCCUGCUGGGCCCACCA
This 77-nucleotide transfer RNA is filed under the name Bermanella marisrubri. RNAcentral describes it as "tRNA-Ile". It matches the Rfam family "tRNA". Rfam says of the family: Transfer RNA (tRNA) molecules are approximately 80 nucleotides in length. Their secondary structure includes four short double-helical elements and three loops (D, anti-codon, and T loops). Lineage: Bacteria; Pseudomonadati; Pseudomonadota; Gammaproteobacteria; Oceanospirillales; Oceanospirillaceae. The record is from RNAcentral. RNAcentral also lists the same sequence under 20 other names.